UACAGAGGGUGCGAGCGUUAAUCGGAAUUACUGGGCGUAAAGCGCGCGUAGGCGGCUUCGCAAGUCGAGUGUGAAAUCCCCGGGCUUAACCCGGGAACUGCAUUCGAGACUGCGUUGCUAGAGUAUGGGAGAGGGAGGUGGAAUUUCAGGUGUAGCGGUGAAAUGCGUAGAUAUCUGAAGGAACAUCAGUGGCGAAAGCGACCUCCUGGACCAAUACUGACGCUCAUGUGCGAAAGCGUGGGGAGCAAACAGG
RNAcentral lists this ribosomal RNA (253 nucleotides) under uncultured bacterium. RNAcentral describes it as "partial 16S ribosomal RNA". It matches the Rfam family "Bacterial small subunit ribosomal RNA", at positions 524 to 776 of the family's 1533-position model. The record is from RNAcentral.